GGUUCACGGUGGGAUUCCGGCUCCACGCCUGAUCAGCCAUACCGUAUCUUAGCAACCCUCAGGCUGAGAGUGUCAGUCCCCCUGAAUGCACUGCUGUCACCGCUGAGGGGUCAGGCGGUCAGUGCUCGGGCUCGGGGGCAGUGAGGCGUGUUCAUGUUUGAGGAGUGAAGACCGGAGGAGCUGGGGAGGCACUGCGGCUGUGAGAGCGGGGGGGCAUGCCGAGAACAGAGAAGCAGGGAAAAUCUACCACAGAAAAGAAUGGAGAAACUUGCCUUGAUGACAAACUCCGGUGUGGGUUUUCAAAGAUCAGUAUAUAAACAAAAACAUUGUCCCCUCUAUAGAGGCCAUUUAUCAAGUCUACAGAGGCUCAUCUUGAAGGUCACAGGGGUCAAAUGGGAGGUAAGGCAAGUAAGGCACUGUCAGUUCCGGUUAGUCAUCGUAAUCCGGGGGAAUCGUACACCUGCCUGCUUCUCUGCUGGAAUGCGUUAGAAUAACUAAAGAAAACAGAAUGAUGCUUUGUAGUGCGCCAUGGGAUUCUAUGUGUGUAUUGGCUUCUUGCUGUCUGGUCUCAGUGCAGGUUCUCUGUGUUUGUGUGUGUGUGUGUUGCAGUCCUGUCUGCCGAGGAGGAGGAUGAAUAAUAAAUGCAGUCUGAAGUUUGGAUUCAACGUGUUCAGACUACUGAGCAGAGCUGAGCCCAUCCACAGCCCCGGCCUGAGCCAGUGCCCUAUGAUACGA
This is a long non-coding RNA of Gasterosteus aculeatus aculeatus (three-spined stickleback), 735 nucleotides long. The record is from Ensembl. Lineage: Eukaryota; Metazoa; Chordata; Actinopteri; Perciformes; Gasterosteidae.